RNAcentral lists this long non-coding RNA (1611 nucleotides) under Triticum aestivum (bread wheat). Its description in RNAcentral is "long non-coding RNA (TAES_LNC026713)". Lineage: Eukaryota; Viridiplantae; Streptophyta; Magnoliopsida; Poales; Poaceae. The record is from RNAcentral.
GUGACUGAGAAAGGCGGAUACCACGGUUACCGCAAAAUUCCAAGCAAAUGUCGGACGAAAUUUUAUUUCAAUUUUUUUCGACCAUAAACUAAAAAAUUCGAGUAUUUGACAACAUGCCUACUGUAUUAUCUCCCUAACAUAUGUCAAAAGUUCAGAACAAAGUUCAUUGGUUCUUGGGAAGUUCAAGAACAAUGAACAUUGGUUUUUGAAAACCCAAACCUUUUAAGUUUGAUCAAAUUUGUAGAGAAAUAUAUCAAAAUCCAUAAUAUCAAAUCGGUAUUUUUAAAUUCAUCACGAAAUGAACUUCCAUACUUUUUUGUUUAAUAUUGUGAAUGUCGAUAUUUUUGCUCUAAACUUGGUCAAAGUUAAAGAAAUUUGACUUUCUAAACAACUAAUACCCCUUAUAUUUUAUAACUGAUGAAGCUCUACAUAUAUUUGGUCUAACUUAGAAAUAGUUGACCUUUCAACUGAGUGUAUACGCUAUCUAUUUAGGGACGGAGGGAGUAGAUUUUAGAUUGAUCUUGCUGAUAUGCUCCAGCACAAACAAACUGAUGCAUGAACAUACUACAUGAACAUGGUUUAGACGGUUGCAUCAUCUUUGAAUAGUUUUCUCAAUGUAAAAGGCCCAAUUGCUGACCUGUUCAAUGCACUUAGAAUGAGAUUAAAUCUACUCAUAAGCUAAGUGGUUGCAGUGUGCUUCCAAGAUUACAUCUACUCAUGAUGCUGCUGUAGUGAGCAGAUCCUAUCUUAAGAUAAUAUCUACUGUACUUAUUAUGUCAUGGCGCCUAUCCUUCCCCAAGUUGUGAAAUUUCUGAUCAUCCACCUGCCUGAAUAGUCAAUAUCGAUGCCAUGCAUCACACACCUACUCCUACCUAGUUAGAGUAAGGACAGAGGCGAGAGACCAAAAAUUGUACAGAGUUCCCUUCCAAUAGAUAGAUAAUUAAGCAAUUAUUAAACACAGCCACUAAACUAAGGAGAUCAAUCUUUGGACCAUAUUUGUGUCACAAUCUCUACCCAGAAGAAGAAUCGCACGUGAUUAUGUAGUUUAUAAGCAGGACCGGGAGAAUAAACGAAUCGGAUACCAAAACCACCUAGAAAGCUUAAUUAAGGAUAUGUAGUUCAUAAUGCAAUCUCUCAAUGUUUAUUUAAGGAUAUGUUUCAACAAUUUAUUGUUGUUCAGUCAACCUAAAUUAAGCUUGGAAAAGUAUGCUGGUAAUCAAGCAGAUUGUACCUCCUACAUUCAACAUGAUAGCACAGGAGCAUCUCCCAGAACUGAACUUAAUGAACAGAUGAUUGUAGAUUGAAUGCAGAACCAGGAUGUCACCACUUACAAAAUAUUUACCCUAAAAAACAACGGAUGGUGAGAUUGUUCUUGACUUCUAUGAACUCUAACACUCGAAUUAUCAAUGGAAAUAAAGCACACAAGUGGAUAAAAAGGCCAAAGCUGGUGUGUUUUUUAGCCGAGCGACACGAUCUGCACCUGAUCAGGUCCUCGGACCUUUGGGUAGCUCUUGGUUGCUGUAAGUAAAACUAUUUGAUGCUCGGCUUCAACUUGUCUAAAGUUUCCUCACAAAAAAAAAAGGGGAAGUUAAGUCACUAACAUGAUCAUUG